AGAGCGAACGCUGGCGGCAGGCCUAAUACAUGCAAGUCGAGCGGCCCUUCGGGGUAGCGGCGGACGGGUGAGUAACGCGUGGGAACGUGCCCUUUGGUACGGAACAACUGAGGGAAACUUCAGCUAAUACCGUAUGUGCCCUUCGGGGGAAAGAUUUAUCGCCAUUGGAGCGGCCCGCGUUAGAUUAGCUAGUUGGUGGGGUAAAGGCCUACCAAGGCAACGAUCUAUAGCUGGUCUGAGAGGAUGAUCAGCCACACUGGGACUGAGACACGGCCCAGACUCC
RNAcentral lists this ribosomal RNA (283 nucleotides) under uncultured soil bacterium. RNAcentral's name for it is "partial 16S ribosomal RNA". It matches the Rfam family "Bacterial small subunit ribosomal RNA", at positions 26 to 339 of the family's 1533-position model. The record is from RNAcentral.